Molecule: long non-coding RNA, 260 nt
Filed under: Gossypium barbadense (sea-island cotton)
Lineage: Eukaryota; Viridiplantae; Streptophyta; Magnoliopsida; Malvales; Malvaceae
Description: long non-coding RNA (GBAR_LNC000229)
Source: RNAcentral
UUUUACCACGUAUGACAACAAUGUAAUUUGUUUUCACAUUUUUUUUACUACGAUUUUCGUGUUAUAUUUUACUCGGUAUAACAAAAUUCGUUUAAAAAAAAAUAUUUCGUGUUUAGAUUCGAAAGGAUCGUACUCUAACUUACUGGGUUUCGAUUUUCAUAAUAAAUCUAAAUACACGAAUCUUUUCAAACUCAAGUUUUUAAACGAUCUCGGGAAUUAAGAAAAGAUCGUGCCCUAACUUACUGGGCCUGAUUUAUUUC